RNAcentral lists this ribosomal RNA (253 nucleotides) under uncultured bacterium. RNAcentral describes it as "partial 16S ribosomal RNA". It matches the Rfam family "Bacterial small subunit ribosomal RNA", at positions 524 to 776 of the family's 1533-position model. The record is from RNAcentral.
UACGGAGGGGGUUAGCGUUGUUCGGAAUUACUGGGCGUAAAGCGCGCGUAGGCGGACCAGAAAGUUGGGGGUGAAAUCCCGGGGCUCAACCCCGGAACGGCCUCCAAAACUCCUGGUCUUGAGUUCGAGAGAGGUGAGUGGAAUUCCGAGUGUAGAGGUGAAAUUCGUAGAUAUUCGGAGGAACACCAGUGGCGAAGGCGGCUCACUGGCUCGAUACUGACGCUGAGGUGCGAAAGUGUGGGGAGCAAACAGC